Molecule: long non-coding RNA, 1564 nt
Filed under: Marmota monax (woodchuck)
Lineage: Eukaryota; Metazoa; Chordata; Mammalia; Rodentia; Sciuridae
Source: RNAcentral
CAGGGCUCCCUGCAGUGUGGUGACCUCUUCUUGGCUUGUUUGUUUGUUUAUUGUGAGGCUAGGGAUCAAAGUCAGGGCCUCCAGCAUACUAGACAAGUGCUCUACCACUGACCUACAUCCUCAGCCCCUUUUCUUGUCUUCUAACUUACUAAAUUUGGCAACCCUGAAAAUGGACUUGUUUUCAAAAAAGGCUGGGAAAAAUUGGUGGGGAGUUAGAGUGAAGCCCCAGGAGCCACUACCUGUCCAGGAAGGUGAAGAAGAACCAAGAAGGAGGGACUAGAGAGACCAGAGAGGUUUACAGAAGACAUAGGUUGGGGCAGGGGUGCACAAGAUGAGUAGGAACCACAAUAUCUUCCCUGCCCAAAGGAAGGACUAAGGAGGGAGUGUUGGUCAGGAUGGUCUAUCAGGGAGUUAGUGUGGGGAGGGGGCAAAGAGUAAAUGGGGGAUGAGGGCAGGAACAACUCUGGAAAUAGGCUGGGUAAGAGGGAGAAGGAUAGAGAUAGAAGUAGAUAGAAGAAGUCCAGGGUUGAAGAAGUUUCUGAUCCAGAAAACAGUGUGCUCAUAACUGAGGGAUGAAUCCAAGAGAGGGCUGGCCAUAGACAGAUGAGAAGGACAGAGGAGAGCUUGAGUCACUGUGCUGGUAAGCCUGGGCAGAGAGUUCUCCCCUCUUGAUGCUCAGUUAUGGGUACAGCCAGCAGCAGCAGCCUCCACCUAGAGCUGGUCAUAAAUGCAGAACCUCUGGUCUUCCCCAAGGUUGGGGAAGUCACCUACAACCUGACCUACUUACCCACUUCCAUCACCAUUACCACCACCACCAUCACCACCACUACCAUCAUCCCACCACCACCACCACCAUCCCACUGGUGACAGUUACCACCAUCACUGUCACCACCAACAGCAUUCCACUAGUACAAUCACCACAAUCACCACUAUCCCACCACCACCACCAUCCUACCACUAUAGUUAUAAAAAAUAGAACCAUAGUAAGUAAAGUAAAUGAAAUCCUAUUAUUAAAACUACUGCAUGAAAGAAAGUGUUCUAAGCUUAUCUUGUGAUUUUUUACUUCAUUUUUUUUCUUGGUUGUGCUUGGCUGCUAGGGUACUUUGUGCCUCCUCAAUACCCUCUUUUUGGAGGAAGGGGUACCAGGGAUUGAACUCAGGGCACUCGACUCCUGUGCCACAUCCCCAGCCCUAUUUUGAAUUUUAUUUAGAGACAGGGUCUCACUGAGUUGCUUAGAGCCUCGCUUUUGCUGAGGCUGGCUUUAAACUUGUGAUCCUCCUGCCUCAGCCUUCAGAGCCGCUGGGAUUACAGGUGUGCACCUCCGAGUCUGGCUUGAUACCCUCUUGUGUGAAUUCUGUUCUUGAGUAAGGAGUAUCUCUGAGUGGGUAGUGAACAUUUUGACUUUUAAGUUUAAAAAUAACUUUUAUAAUUAGAAGUAUUUUACAAUUCUAAUUUGAGUUGAUAUAAACUUUCUAUGUUGUUAAAUGUUCUAACUUGUCUUUAUUUCUACAUUCUUCAUUAAUAAUUUUGCUGGGAUACACUGUUCAGGUUCAAAAGAUAUUUG